Molecule: small nucleolar RNA, 78 nt
Filed under: Sphenodon punctatus (tuatara)
Lineage: Eukaryota; Metazoa; Chordata; Lepidosauria; Sphenodontia; Sphenodontidae
Description: Small nucleolar RNA SNORD45 (ENSSPUG00000007966.1)
Rfam family: Small nucleolar RNA SNORD45
About the family: U45 belongs to the C/D class of snoRNA which contain the C (UGAUGA) and D (CUGA) box motifs. Most of the members of the box C/D family function in directing site-specific 2'-O-methylation of substrate RNAs.
Source: Rfam by way of RNAcentral
GGUCAAUGAUGCUUGGCAUGUAUUAACUGAUUUAAGCUGAAGACUUCUGCUUUAGCUCUAGAAUUACUCUGAGACCUC